GAUGAACGCUGGCGGCGUGCCUAAUACAUGCAAGUCGAGCGAACAGACGAGGAGCUUGCUCCUUUGACGUUAGCGGCGGACGGGUGAGUAACACGUAGGUAACCUACCUAUAAGACUGGGAUAACUUCGGGAAACCGGAGCUAAUACCGGAUAAUAUUUCGAACCGCAUGGUUCGAUAGUGAAAGAUGGCUUUGCUAUCACUUAUAGAUGGACCUGCGCCGUAUUAGCUAGUUGGUAAGGUAACGGCUUACCAAGGCAACGAUACGUAGCCGACCUGAGAGGGUGAUCAGCCACACUGGAACUGAGACACGGUCCAGACUCCUACGGGAGGCAGCAGUAGGGAAUCUUCCGCAAUGGGCGAAAGCCUGACGGAGCAACGCCGCGUGAGUGAUGAAGGUCUUCGGAUCGUAAAACUCUGUUAUUAGGGAAGAACAAACGUGUAAGUAACUGUGCACGUCUUGACGGUACCUAAUCAGAAAGCCACGGCUAACUACGU
This 496-nucleotide ribosomal RNA is filed under the name uncultured bacterium. RNAcentral describes it as "partial 16S ribosomal RNA". It matches the Rfam family "Bacterial small subunit ribosomal RNA", at positions 28 to 506 of the family's 1533-position model. The record is from RNAcentral.